CUCAACCGGUGAACUGCGCUUGAAACUACUGGACUAGAGAUCAGGAGAGGAAAGUGGAAUUCCUAGUGUAGCGGUGAAAUGCGUAGAUAUUAGGAAGAACAUCGAUGGCGAAGGCAGCUUUCUGGCCUGACACUGACGCUGAGGCGCGAAAGCGUGGGGAGCAAACAGGAUUAGAUACCCUGGUAGUCCACGCCGUAAACGAUGGAUACUAGGUGUAGGGGGUUCGAUUCCCUCUGUGCCGCAGUUAACGCAAUAAGUAUCCCGCCUGGGGAGUACGGUCGCAAGAUUGAAACUCAAAGGAAUUGACGGGGGCCCGCACAAGCGGUGGAGUAUGUGGUUUAAUUCGAUGCAACGCGAAGAACCUUACCAAGGCUUGACAUCCCGUGACAGCCUGUGAAAGCANGAAUUAGCCUCGGCUACAC
RNAcentral lists this ribosomal RNA (422 nucleotides) under uncultured bacterium. Its description in RNAcentral is "bacterial SSU rRNA". It matches the Rfam family "Bacterial small subunit ribosomal RNA", at positions 608 to 1029 of the family's 1533-position model. The record is from RNAcentral.